This 252-nucleotide long non-coding RNA is filed under the name Lathyrus oleraceus (garden pea). RNAcentral's name for it is "Pisum sativum (pea) long non-coding RNA (PSAT_LNC022681)". Lineage: Eukaryota; Viridiplantae; Streptophyta; Magnoliopsida; Fabales; Fabaceae. The record is from RNAcentral.
GCACGCCGAAACAAAACACACGCACACAAACAAACAUGGAAACCGAAUGCCAAUCGCUGGACUUACAUCAGACUCUGAACCAAACAAACCCACACUGGAAACCAAAUGCCAAAUGCUGGACUUAUAUCGGACUCCAAGCACACAACAAUAAGAUACGGAAUGCCAAUCGCUGGUCUUACAUCCAUCUCCUAACACACACAAGAAAGGGUAACAAACAAACAAGUUACUAAGGAGUCUGGCACUCGAGCCUAG